GGAGGGUGCGAGCGUUAAUCGGAAUGACUGGGCGUAAAGGGCAUGUAGGCGGAUAAUUAAGUUAGGUGUGAAAGCCCUGGGCUCAACCUAGGAAUUGCACUUAAAACUGGUUAACUAGAGUAUUGUAGAGGAAGGUAGAAUUCCACGUGUAGCGGUGAAAUGCGUAGAGAUGUGGAGGAAUACCGGUGGCGAAGGCGGCCUUCUGGACAGAUACUGACGCUGAGAUGCGAAAGCGUGGGGAGCAAACAGGAUUAGAUACCCUGGUAGUCCACGCUGUAAACGAUGUCGAUUUGGAGUUUGUUGCCUAGAGUGAUGGGCUCCGAAGCUAACGCGAUAAAUCGACCGCCUGGGGAGUACGGCCGCAAGGUUA
This 370-nucleotide ribosomal RNA is filed under the name uncultured bacterium. Its description in RNAcentral is "bacterial SSU rRNA". It matches the Rfam family "Bacterial small subunit ribosomal RNA", at positions 527 to 896 of the family's 1533-position model. The record is from RNAcentral.